RNAcentral lists this small RNA (87 nucleotides) under Flavobacterium sp. 123. Its description in RNAcentral is "Flavo-1 RNA". It matches the Rfam family "Flavo-1 RNA". Lineage: Bacteria; Pseudomonadati; Bacteroidota; Flavobacteriia; Flavobacteriales; Flavobacteriaceae. The record is from Rfam by way of RNAcentral.
CUGUUGAUGCGUGAAGGAUAGUAGUGGAAAUCCUUUACUUUUUUUUCUUUAAAAAAGUAAAGAUUGCAACGAAUAGCCUGACCCUUU